Molecule: transfer RNA, 76 nt
Filed under: Pseudomonadota bacterium
Lineage: Bacteria; Pseudomonadati; Pseudomonadota
Description: Proteobacteria bacterium (activated sludge metagenome) tRNA-Thr
Rfam family: tRNA
About the family: Transfer RNA (tRNA) molecules are approximately 80 nucleotides in length. Their secondary structure includes four short double-helical elements and three loops (D, anti-codon, and T loops).
Source: RNAcentral
GCCGGAUUAGCUCAGUUGGUAGAGCAACUGAUUUGUAAUCAGUAGGUCGGGGGUUCGAGUCCCUCUUCCGGCACCA